This 475-nucleotide long non-coding RNA is filed under the name Vigna radiata. RNAcentral describes it as "long non-coding RNA (VRAD_LNC013315)". The record is from RNAcentral. Lineage: Eukaryota; Viridiplantae; Streptophyta; Magnoliopsida; Fabales; Fabaceae.
GUUGACAAAUUGGCAAGCACACCAAAUCGUACAAGUAAUAUAAAUGGUAAGACCAAGUAUCGUUUUCCCAAGAGACUCAAAAGGCUUUCUCGUUCACGUGAAUUAAAAUAAUAAGACUUGAAAAUAAAAAUUAAUAAAUUGGAUUUGUGAACAAAAAUAUUAACAUGCAAAAUAAAGUUGAUUCAAUUGACAAAAGAAAACAAUGGAUGAAUGGAUGUUGUUGGGGGUUUACAAUUUCAUCUAAUCCGCCCUCUCUUAUCUACUCCUCUUGAAUAUUAGUUUGAUUAACUAAUUGUUAUGCGACUUUCUUAGCCUACCUCUAACCCGAUCCCUCGGCGAAAAGAGCCUAAUAUUAACUACUAGCUUGCUAUCCCUAACCUCCCCUAGUAAUUAAUACCGCAUUAUAAACAAAAGUCAGUGCAAUUGAUCGUCCUACCCCUAUCCCUAGGUGGUAUUGCAAAAUCAAGAAAUUACU